GACGAACGCUGGCGGCGUGCUUAACACAUGCAAGUCGAACGAUGAAACCUAGCUUGCUAGGUCGAAUAGUGGCGAACGGGUGAGUAACACGUGACUAACCUGCCCCUUUCCCUGGGAUAACGCUCCGAAAGGAGUGCUAAUACCGGAUACUCACAUCGAGGCACAUGCCUUGGUGUGGAAAGUUUUUCGGAAAGGGAUGGAGUCGCGGCCUAUCAGCUUGUUGGUGAGGUAACGGCUCACCAAGGCGACGACGGGUAGCCGGCCUGAGAGGGCAACCGGCCACACUGGGACUGAGACACGGCCCAGACUCCUACGGGAGGCAGCAGUGGGGAAUAUUGCACAAUGGGCGCAAGCCUGAUGCAGCGACGCCGCGUGAGGGAUGAAGGUCUUCGGAUUGUAAACCUCUUUCAGUAGGGACGAAGCGAAAGUGACGGUACCUAAAGAAGAAGCACCGGCUAACUACGUGCCAGCAGCCGCCGUAA
RNAcentral lists this ribosomal RNA (482 nucleotides) under uncultured bacterium. RNAcentral describes it as "partial 16S ribosomal RNA". It matches the Rfam family "Bacterial small subunit ribosomal RNA", at positions 28 to 523 of the family's 1533-position model. The record is from RNAcentral.